This 1994-nucleotide ribosomal RNA is filed under the name human gut metagenome. RNAcentral's name for it is "bacterial LSU rRNA". It matches the Rfam family "Bacterial large subunit ribosomal RNA", at positions 152 to 2003 of the family's 2925-position model. The record is from RNAcentral.
CCGCCGCUGAAUGUAUAGGUGGUGUGGGGGGAACGAGGGGAAGUGAAACAUCUCAGUACCCUUAGGAAGAGAAAACAAUAGUGAUUGCGUGAGUAGUGGCGAGCGAAAGCGUAGGAGGCUAAACCAUGCUGGUGUGAGACUCGGUAGGGGUUGCUGGUGUGGGGUUGUGGGGUGCAUUUACACAAUAUCUACCGGUGUUGUGGCGUCGUGGUGUGUGGUAGGUGAAGCCUUGUGAGUGGGGCGCCAUAGUGGGUGUGAGUCCCGUAGCUGAAACUGCAUGGCCAGGCGUGGUGUUGCCCCGAGUAGGGCCGGGCUCGUGGAAUCCGGUGUGAAUCUGCCAGGACCACCUGGUAAGCCUAAAUACUUCCUUGUGACCGAUAGCGGACUAGUACCGUGAGGGAAAGGUGAAAAGAACCCCGGGAGGGGAGUGAAAGAGUACCUGAAACCGUGUGCUUACAAUCCGUCGGAGCCUUGAGGGGUGACGGCGUGCCUAUUGAAAAAUGAGCCUGCGAGUUAGUGGUCGGUGGCGAGGUUAACCUGUGUGGGGUAGCCGUAGCGAAAGCGAGUCUGAAUGGGGCGUUCAGUCGCCGGCUCUAGACCCGAAGCGAAGUGAUCUAUCCAUGGGCAGUGUGAAGCGCGGGUAAGACCGUGUGGAGGCGCGAACCCACUUCAGUUGAAAAUGGAGGGGAUGACCUGUGGAUAGGGGUGAAAGGCCAAUCAAACUUCGUGAUAGCUGGUUCUCCCCGAAAUGCAUUUAGGUGCAGCGUUGCGUGUUUCGUGCUGGAGGUAGAGCACUGGAUAGGCGAUGGGCCCCACCGGGUUACUGACCUUAGCCAAACUCCGAAUGCCGGUACGUGAGAGCGUAGCAGUGAGACUGUGGGGGAUAAGCUUCAUGGUCGAGAGGGAAACAGCCCAGAACAUCAGCUAAGGCCCCUAAGCGUGUGCUAAGUGGGAAAGGAUGUGGAGUUGCUGAGACAACCAGGAGGUUGGCUUAGAAGCAGCCACCCUUGAAAGAGUGCGUAAUAGCUCACUGGUCAAGUGAUUCUGCGCCGAUAAUGUAGCGGGGCUCAAGUACACCGCCGAAGCUGUGUCACUCCAUUUUGUGUGGGGUGGGUAGGGGAGCGUCGUGUGGCCGGUGAAGCUGCGGGGGAACCCAGUGGUGGAGGCUAUGCGAGUGAGAAUGCAGGCAUGAGUAGCGAAAGACGGGUGAGAAACCCGUCCUCCGAAUGAUCAAGGGUUCCGGGGCUAGGUUAAUCCGCCCCGGGUUAGUCGGGACCUAAGGCGAGGCCGACAGGCGUAGUCGAUGGAUAACGGGUUGAUAUUCCCGUACCGAUAGUGUGAGGACCCAUACCGAGGCGUGUGAUGCUAACCACCCGAGCUGCUGCUUCCUUCCCUUUGGGUUGGUUGUUGGUGGUGAGGCUGGGAACCAAGCGCGUAGUAGGUCAGCGUGUGGGAUGACGCAGUGAGGUAGCUUCCGCGGGGUAAUGGUUGUCCCCGUUCAAGCGAGCAGCCCGAGUGCGAGUAAUGUUGUGCUCUUGUGGGUGAGUCGUGAUGAGGACCCUUUAUUGGGGUAGGUGGGUGAUCCUGGACUGCCGAGAAAAGUUCCGGCGUGACGAGCACUAUUGCCCGUACCCUAAACCGACUCAGGUGAUCAGGUAGAGAAUACUAAGGAGUUCGAGAGAAUCGUGGUUAAGGAACUCGGCAAAAUGACCCCGUAACUUCGGGAGAAGGGGGGCCUGAGGUGUGAGAGCACUGAUGGCCGCAGAGACCAGGGAGAAGCGACUGUUUACUAAAAACACAGGUCCGUGCGAAGACGUAAGUCGCUGUAUACGGACUGACGCCUGCCCGGUGCUGGAAGGUUAAGAGGACUGGUUAGCCCCUUUUUGGGGGCGAAGCUGAGAAUUUAAGCCCCAGUAAACGGCGGUGGUAACUAUAACCAUCCUAAGGUAGCGAAAUUCCUUGUCGGGUAAGUUCCGACCUGCACGAAUGGCGUA